Small nucleolar RNA from Nymphaea colorata (pocket water lily), 96 nucleotides. RefSeq annotates it as small nucleolar RNA R64/Z200 family. Lineage: Eukaryota; Viridiplantae; Streptophyta; Magnoliopsida; Nymphaeales; Nymphaeaceae. The transcript has a single exon. The record is from RefSeq and is a predicted model, not a curated record.
GUUCUGCUAUGAUGAAUUGAUAUUUCCAUUCCACAUGUCAGACUUUGGAGACAUUGUUGUCUAUGAGAAAAAAAAAUAUCAUUCCCUGAGCAGUUC